This is an RNA transcript of Solanum tuberosum (potato), 2257 nucleotides long. It is a transcript of the gene named disease resistance protein RGA2-like, with no coding region annotated. The transcript is spliced from 2 exons. The record is from RefSeq and is a predicted model, not a curated record. Lineage: Eukaryota; Viridiplantae; Streptophyta; Magnoliopsida; Solanales; Solanaceae.
UUUCCAACAUCUUACUUCAUUUCAAAAAAUAUAGAUUCAUUGCUUACUCAUAAUACUCUAUGGCUGAAGCUUUCCUUCAAGUUCUGUUAGACAAUCUGACUUGUUUCAUCCAAGGGGAACUUGGAUUGAUUCUUGGUUUUAAGGAUGAGUUCGAAAAGCUUCAAAGCACGUUUACUACAAUCCAAGCUGUGCUAGAAGAUGCUCAGAAGAAGCAAUUGAAGGACAAGGCAAUAGAAAAUUGGUUGCAGAAACUCAAUGCUGCUGCAUAUGAAGCUGAUGACAUCUUGAACGAAUGUAAAACUGAGGCACCAAUUAGACAGAAGAAGAAUAAAUAUGGGUGUUAUCAUCCAAAUGUUAUCACUUUCCGUCACAAGAUUGGGAAAAGGAUGAAAAAGAAUAUGGAGAAACUAGAUGCAAUUGCAGCGGAACGAAUUAAGUUUCACUUGGAUGAAAAGACUAUUGAGAGACAAGUUGCUACACGCCAAACAGGUUUUGUUUUAAAUGAACCACAAGUUUAUGGAAGAGACAAAGAAAUGGAUGAGAUAGUGAAAAUCCUGAUAAAUAAUGUUAGCGAUGCCCAAACACUUUCAGUCCUCCCAAUACUUGGUAUGGGGGACUAGGAAAGACGACACUUGCCCAAAUGGUCUUCAAUGAUCAGAGAGUAAUUGAGCAUUUCCAUCCCAAAAUAUGGAUUUGUGUCUCGGAAGAUUUUAAUGAGAAGAGGUUGAUAAAGGAAAUUGUAGAAUCUAUUGAAGAAAAGUCACUUGGUGACAUGGACUUGGCUCCACUUCAAAAGAAGCUUCGGGACUUGCUGAAUGGAAAAAAAUAUUUGCUUGUAUUAGAUGAUGUUUGGAAUGAAGAUCAAGAUAAGUGGGCUAAGUUAAGACAAGUCUUGAAGGUUGGAGCAAGUGGUGCUUCUAUUCUAACCACUACUCGUCUUGAAAAGGUUGGAUCAAUCAUGGGAACUUUGCAACCAUAUGAAUUGUCAAAUUUGUCUCAAGAAGAUUGUUGGUUGUUGUUCAUGCAACGUGCAUUUGGGCACCAAGAAGAAAUAAAUCAUAAUCUUGUGGCUAUCGGAAAGGAGAUUGUGAAAAAAUGUGGUGGUGUGCCUCUAGCAGCUAAAACUCUUGGAGGUAUUUUGCACUUCAAGAGAGAAGAAGAGAUAGUGAGAUUUGGAAAUUGCCUCAAGAAGAAAGUUCUAUUCUGCCUGCCCUGAGACUUAGUUACCAUCAUCUUCCAUUUGAUUUGAGACAAUGCUUUGCAUAUUGUGCAGUAUUCCCAAAGGAUACCAAAAUGGAAAAGCAAAAUCUAAUCUCUCUCUGGAUGGCACACGGUUUUCAUUUAUCGAAAGGAAACUUGGAGCUAGAGGAUGUAGGUAAUGAAGUAUGGAAUGAAUUAUACUUGAGGUCUUUCUUCCAAGAGAUUGAAGUUAAAUCUGGUAAAACUUAUUUCAAGAUGCAUGAUCUCAUCCAUGAUCUGGCUACAUCUCUGUUUACGACAAGCGCAUCAAGCAACAAUAUCCCUGAAAUAAAUGUUAAAGGUUACCCACAUAUGAUGUCGAUUGGUUUAGCAAAAGUGGUGUCUUCUUACUCUCCUUAUCACUUGCAAAAGUUUGUCUCGUUGAGGGGCUUAAUCUAAGUAAAUUAAGACUUAAGCAUUUACCGUCUUCCAUUGGAGAUCUAGUAUAUUUAAGAUACUUGAACCUGUCUUGCAAUGACAUGCGCAGUCUUCCAAAGCAGUUAUGCAAGCUUCAAAAUCUGCAGACUCUUGAUCUACAUAAUUGCGAGUCACUUUGUUGUUUGCCAAAGAAACAAGUAAACUUGGUAGUCUCCGAAAUCUUUUACUUGAUAGUUGCUAUGGAUUGACUUGUAUGCCACCAAGGAUGGGAUCUUUGACAUGCCUUAAGACUCUUAGUUGCUUUGCAGUGGGAAGGAAGAAAAGUUGUCAACUUGGUGAAUUACGAAACCUGAGUCUCUACGGCUCAAUUGAAAUCACGCAUCUUGAGAGAUUGAAGAAUGAUAUGGAUGCAAAAGAAGCCAAUUUAUCUGCAAAAGAAAAUCUGCAUUCUUUAAGCAUGAGAUGGGAUGAGAUGAACGUCCACAUAGAUAUGAAUCAGAAGAAGUUGAAGUGAUUGAUGUCCUCAAACCACACUCCAAUCUGACUUGUUUAACAAUCAAUGGCUUCAGAGGAAUCCGUCUCCCAGACUGGUUGAAUCACUCAGUUUUGAAAAAUGUUGUCUCUAUUGAAAUCAUCUAGU